AUACUCAACAAAUACUUGUUGAAUAAGUUACGUUGGCCAAAACCAAUUGAGGUCAGAUUGAAAGCCUCUUUCAGGAAGUGUGCCCUCUGGCUCUGACUCACACCCCUGGAAUAUGAUCUGAUGCAGAGGAUUGGGAUGUGUUCAGCUGCUGCACGUCACGCUGGGAUCACAGUGGGGAGACGGGGAUGUGACUCCCCCAGACUGGGUGCCAGUCAGGAAGGCUCCACUAGGCACCGGCCCUGAGGACCUGACUGGGUGAGCGGGGGCCUGAGAGGAGAAGCAAUUCAGAGCUGUGGGAACAAAGCCUGGGCUUCAUGCUGAAGCAACCCAGGUCCCAUCACCCAGAACCUUGAAAGAACUCUUCCUGAUGUGACGGCUUUGGAAGCAGCUGAACUCACGGACUCAUCUUUGGAGCAGGACUGUACUUUCUGAGGGCAGGGGGUGCUUUCUAAGAACCUGGGAGGAUCCCUUGAACCACACAAAUGGAAGUCAUUCAACAUCUGCUAGCCUCAACAGCCCCUUCUGAAGACAGCAAAAGAAAGGGCCGGGUCCCUGGAUGCAUGGAGGCAGGACCUGGGACUCGUGGACCCGCUCGCACUUCUGGCUUCUGAGAGUGCUCUGGGGUGGGGGUCACGGAUAAAAGGCU
This 646-nucleotide long non-coding RNA is filed under the name Homo sapiens (human). Its description in RNAcentral is "HSALNT0208226". The record is from RNAcentral. Lineage: Eukaryota; Metazoa; Chordata; Mammalia; Primates; Hominidae.